Molecule: small RNA, 797 nt
Filed under: Pan troglodytes (chimpanzee)
Lineage: Eukaryota; Metazoa; Chordata; Mammalia; Primates; Hominidae
Description: processed transcript
Source: RNAcentral
GAAGAGGUAGAGAUGGAAGAUUUUGAUGCAAAUAUCGAAGAACAGAAAGAAGAAAAGAAAGAUGCAGAGGAAGAGGAAAGCGAACUGGGUUACAUUCCGAAAAGCAAAUGGGAGAUGGACACAUCUGAGGCAAAGCUAGUAUGCCAUGUGGAAGAGGUGUGAGCCUUUCUUCAGCCCAAGAAGGAAACUUUAAACAUAUUUGCACAAUAAAAUUUCAAAUUAAACGUUUCAAAAAGGGUGCUCAGACUAGAAAUACAUGCUCUUCUGAAAUUCCAUGUUGCAACUGUAACUCCUGUCAUAUAUACCCAGUGUAUGAGGAAAAGUUCUUGCAGUUUUCACACUGCCCUUCUGUAUUGCUACCUGGCUGUGCUCUGUUGUUGGAACUGAAAUAUGAAAUUUUUACUUUGAAGUAUGUUAAUGUCAAAGUUGAUCGUAUUAAGUUUGGAAAUCCUUUGAGGUUUAUCUAAUAAGUGUGUUGGAGCUUCUUUCUCUUCUGGUAAUACUGUACCCUGUUGAACCAAGAACAGUUUUAUUGUUUGUGGGACUUCGUUGGUUUUCUAAUACCAUAACCUGUGUCCCUGUGCAGUCAGGGGGUCACUUCUUUAAGAUCAUGUAUAAUACGGCCCGUCAUAUACACGUAGAUAGAGCCAUGUGAUUCCAGAAAUUAGAAGACUGGAUCUGUGGAAUCCAUACAUGUUAAAAUUUUGCCAAAAUGAGAUGAUUAAAAUUUUUGUGAGUUUUAUAAACUGUUGCAGUUCGCCUUACUGAUUUUUCAAUAAUCACUUUUAUGGGAAGGG